CUCUCAGAUGACCUUCCAGAAUAGAAUAAGCUUGGAAAUGAUUUUAGCAGAAAAAGGGAGAGUAUGUAAAAUACUCCCAGACACCAUGACAUGCUGUACCUAUAUUCCAGAUAAUACAGGCCCUAAUGGUAAGGUAACAUUGGCAAUAGAAAAGUUAAAGAGUUUGUCCAAUGAACUGAAACGAAAUUCUGGGGCCACAGAUCCAUG
This is a non-coding RNA of Pelobates cultripes (western spadefoot toad), 207 nucleotides long. The record is from the annotation of a GenBank genome assembly. Lineage: Eukaryota; Metazoa; Chordata; Amphibia; Anura; Pelobatidae.